GAGCUCCUUAAAACACAUCAAUGAUCAAAUACAAGUGAGAUGACUCAAGACCCAAAGAUUACAAAUGAUGGUUGACUGGGCUUGUUAAAGCGGAAGGCACUGGGCCAGCAGAAAAUAAGGAAGAAUCCACCUCUCUCCUCUCCCCAUUCCUAAAUGCCUCAUUUAAAUGGCACUGGCACCCAGUUCAGAUCCAUAUUCCUUCUUUUCAUGUAAACUGAAGGACACAACAAAGUAUGAGGCAUAACCAUGGUCAAAGAAACUUUCAUGAAGAGGCUGCGCUUAUGCAGUCAUCGGGAGCAAAGUGAUGGGGAGAUUUCAAAACCCUGUGAUCCACCUACAGGACUCGGUGACAUCCAAUUUCUAGUGUUAAAUGACAUAGCUGCUCUAAAGUCAUCAACAAAGCUGAUGGCCAGAAACGUCAUCAAGGAUACAGAAAUGAGACCUUGAAACGAAUUGUUGGCUGCCUUUUUUCUAGUACCCAAACCACAGGAAGAGUCUGACUUCCAAGCUUAAUUGUCUAAGGCAAUGGAACUCAGCAGGCAAUUUGAAAAUAUAUGACGGCCUUCUUCUGGUUGUCGUGAUGACUGCUGGUGAUGGUAGCAGGGAUGGCAGAUGUCUUGCAAUGCACAUGAUGUAUUGCUCAAUGAAGAAUGCCCCAGUGGACACUCAUGGAGAUGAAAAGCCUGUGGAUAAUUAUCUGAGCCUAGAAACAUCCACUGAAUUUCCAGGUGGGUAGUGCAACAACUAUUUACAUGUAGAAUGAAUAAAAGCACUUUCAGAUUUUGUGUGAUUUUUGGAGGGUGACUGAUACGGUUCGGCUGUGUCCCCACCCAAAUCUCACACUGAAUUGUAAUAACCCCCAUGUGUCAAGGGCAGAGCCAGGUGGAGAUAAGUGAAUCAUGGGGGUGCUUUCUCCCAUACUGUUCUCAUGGUAGUGAAUAAGUCUCACGAAAUCUGAUGGUUUUAUAAAUGAGAAUUCCCCUGCACAUACUCUGUUGCCUGAUGUCAUGUAAGACAUCCCUUUGCCCUUCCUUCAUCUUCCGC
This 1044-nucleotide long non-coding RNA is filed under the name Homo sapiens (human). RNAcentral's name for it is "HSALNT0233854". Lineage: Eukaryota; Metazoa; Chordata; Mammalia; Primates; Hominidae. The record is from RNAcentral.